UGGGGAAUUUUGGACAAUGGGCGCAAGCCUGAUCCAGCAAUGCCGCGUGCAGGAUGAAGGCCUUCGGGUUGUAAACUGCUUUUGUACGGAACGAAAAGCCUCUCUCUAAUACAGGGGGGUGAUGACGGUACCGUAAGAAUAAGCACCGGCUAACUACGUGCCAGCAGCCGCGGUAAUACGUAGGGUGCAAGCGUUAAUCGGAAUUACUGGGCGUAAAGCGUGCGCAGGCGGUUUUGUAAGACAGUGGUGAAAUCCCCGGGCUCAACCUGGGAACUGCCAUUGUGACUGCAAGGCUGGAGUGCGGCAGAGGGGGAUGGAAUUCCGCGUGUAGCAGUGAAAUGCGUAGAUAUGCGGAGGAACACCGAUGGCGAAGGCAAUCCCCUGGGCCUGCACUGACGCUCAUGCACGAAAGCGUGGGGAGCAAACAGGAUUAGAUACCCUGGUAGUCCACGCCCUAAACGAUGUCAACUGGUUGUUGGGGAUUUAUUUCUUCAGUAACGAAGCUAACGCGUGAAGUUGACCGCCUGGGGGAGUACGGCCGCAAGGUUAAAAACUCAAAUGAAUUGACGGGGUC
Molecule: ribosomal RNA, 574 nt
Filed under: uncultured bacterium
Lineage: Bacteria
Description: partial 16S ribosomal RNA
Rfam family: Bacterial small subunit ribosomal RNA
Source: RNAcentral